Molecule: long non-coding RNA, 205 nt
Organism: Stylophora pistillata
Lineage: Eukaryota; Metazoa; Cnidaria; Anthozoa; Scleractinia; Pocilloporidae
Source: RefSeq, a predicted model, not a curated record
GUCAAAUGAAGUGGUUUUUAUGAGUAAACGUCAUCCGACAUGUUUUCUAAGUGGUUUUGAAAGUAAUUUGGACAGCCAGACGGGAAUUAGAAGCCAUUUUCGAGAAGGCUGCAGCAAUUCAGGAAUUAUUAGUAAUGUCAACGUGGAUUGAUCACUGCAAGAUGAUUGUGUUGUGAUUACAGAUUUCCAAAGGAAGCGAAGAAGA